CAUAAGCUGCGAUGUGCGUAUUCAACUAAGUUUUAACCUCUAAUGGUUAGUUCGGGAGUUUAAGAUUGAAACUGGAAUGUCGUGCCGUGCAAGAGAGGCGGAAGACAGGAACGUUUCUGCAAACACCCACCUGGUGAAAAGGUGGUUUAAAACUUCGUAUAAAGAGUACGGCAAUUGUGGCUCAUCC
RNAcentral lists this non-coding RNA (187 nucleotides) under Aciduricibacillus chroicocephali. RNAcentral describes it as "Bacillaceae bacterium 44XB 6S RNA". It matches the Rfam family "6S / SsrS RNA". From Rfam's summary of the family: E. coli 6S RNA was the first non coding RNA to be sequenced, but its function was unknown until recently. It consists of 184 nucleotides that fold into an extended hairpin structure with a large single-stranded internal bulge. The record is from RNAcentral. Lineage: Bacteria; Bacillati; Bacillota; Bacilli; Caryophanales; Bacillaceae.